GAUCAUGGCUCAGGAUGAACGCUGGCGGCGUGCCUAAUACAUGCAAGUCGAACGCGCAGCGAGAGGUGCUUGCACCUUUCAAGCGAGUGGCGAACGGGUGAGUAACACGUGGAUAACCUGCCUCAAGACUGGGGAUAACAUUUGGAAACAGAUGCUAAUACCGAAUAAACUUAGUAUCGCAUGAUAUCAGUUAAAAGGCGCUACGGCGUCACCUAGAGAUGGAUCCGCGGG
RNAcentral lists this ribosomal RNA (231 nucleotides) under uncultured bacterium. RNAcentral describes it as "partial 16S ribosomal RNA". It matches the Rfam family "Bacterial small subunit ribosomal RNA", at positions 15 to 237 of the family's 1533-position model. The record is from RNAcentral.